GGCGGGGUAGCUCAGCUGGUUAGAGCGCACGGCUCAUACCCGUGUUGUCGACGGUUCGAUCCCGUCCCCCGCUACCA
This 77-nucleotide transfer RNA is filed under the name Candidatus Omnitrophota bacterium. RNAcentral's name for it is "tRNA-Met". It matches the Rfam family "tRNA". Rfam says of the family: Transfer RNA (tRNA) molecules are approximately 80 nucleotides in length. Their secondary structure includes four short double-helical elements and three loops (D, anti-codon, and T loops). Further hydrogen bonds mediate the characteristic L-shaped molecular structure. tRNAs have two regions of fundamental functional importance: the anti-codon, which is responsible for specific mRNA codon recognition, and the 3' end, to which the tRNAs corresponding amino acid is attached (by aminoacyl-tRNA synthetases). tRNAs cope with the degeneracy of the genetic code in two manners: having more than one tRNA (with a specific anti-codon) for a particular amino acid; and 'wobble' base-pairing, i.e. permitting non-standard base-pairing at the 3rd anti-codon position. RNAcentral also lists the same sequence under 1 other name. Lineage: Bacteria; Pseudomonadati; Candidatus Omnitrophota. The record is from RNAcentral.